CAAGGGUUUGAAACUCCAUACAUGUGUUUGAGAAUCUGCAUGGAGUUUCAAACUCUUGAA
Molecule: non-coding RNA, 60 nt
Filed under: Spodoptera frugiperda (fall armyworm)
Lineage: Eukaryota; Metazoa; Arthropoda; Insecta; Lepidoptera; Noctuidae
Source: RNAcentral